UGAACAUCUAUUGUAUGUUUUGGUGGUCUGAUGAUAGGACUUCUAAGACUUUAUAUCAUCUACAAGGUGGCGUUGAACACCCAGAGUCUCAAGACGAGCAGUUUGCAGGACGAGCUCGAUGGGACAGGGAGGACCUGGGAAAGGGACAUGUCAGACUCCACCUGUCCAGACUCAGGAUCAACGACUCCGGCAUUUACCGAUGUGAAGUGUUCACUGAAGAUAAUGAUGAUGAUGGGGGUUUCAGUGAGUGCUUGCUCAACGUCACUGCUGCAAAACACCUGCCAGAAGAGCCAAAGGAGGGAGAAGAUGGAGCGGCCGUCAACAUCGGAGUUGUGAUUGGAGCUGUGAUCGGUUCUCUUGUAGUUCUCGUAGUUCUUCUCAUGGUGGUGAUAUUCGUUUGUGGACUCGCUUAGAAGCACAAGACACACCGGGACCUGCCUGUGCUGAGUUCCACCAUGUUCCUGUGACUUGAAAAGAAACUGUUCCUUGAGUCCUGCUGCUCCAUGAGGGAACAGGCACUCCACAGAUGAUUGGUGUUUUUUGUCCACAAAGCAGAGACAUCGGAACUGAGGAGGUGGGAGGAACAUGGAUCAGGCUGUCCAUCCAUACAACAUCACAUUACAGCUGCUCUCAGUAGAUUAAAGGGUAAUUCCGGUAUUUUUCAACCUGGAUCCUAUUUUUGGGGUCCACAUGACUGAUAGGAAAACAUUUUUGAAAUUGGUCCAGAAAUCAGUGUCAUCUUGUCAAGUGUGACAAGACAAAACUGAUUUGACAGCCAGAAGAUGAUACCACAGAUACUGGCGUGUAUUUUUGGUAUCUCACUGGCUUAACCAGCCUCUACCUCUGCAGCCAAUGAAGGAAGACUUGUGCCUUGAAAGGUAAUAUUUCUUCAGGCCUCAGAAACACAAAUGUAUGCACCUUGUUCCCUAUCAGGCAC
RNAcentral lists this long non-coding RNA (937 nucleotides) under Myripristis murdjan (pinecone soldierfish). Its description in RNAcentral is "lncRNA (ENSMMDG00005001679.1)". The record is from RNAcentral. Lineage: Eukaryota; Metazoa; Chordata; Actinopteri; Holocentriformes; Holocentridae.